RNAcentral lists this ribosomal RNA (253 nucleotides) under uncultured bacterium. Its description in RNAcentral is "partial 16S ribosomal RNA". It matches the Rfam family "Bacterial small subunit ribosomal RNA", at positions 524 to 776 of the family's 1533-position model. The record is from RNAcentral.
UACGUAGGGUGCAGGCGUUAAUCGGAAUUACUGGGCGUAAAGCGUGCGCAGGCGGUUUGCUAAGACAGGUGUGAAAGCCCCGGGCUCAACCUGGGAAUGGCCGUUGAAACUGGCGAACUGGAGUGUGGCAGAGGGGGGUGGAAUUCCGCGUGUAGCAGUGAAAUGUGUAGAGAUGCGGAGGAACACCGAUGGCGAAGGCAGCCCCCUGGGCUGACACUGACGCUCAGGCACGAAAGCGUGGGGAGCAAACAGG